This 254-nucleotide ribosomal RNA is filed under the name uncultured bacterium. Its description in RNAcentral is "partial 16S ribosomal RNA". It matches the Rfam family "Bacterial small subunit ribosomal RNA", at positions 524 to 776 of the family's 1533-position model. The record is from RNAcentral.
UACGUAGGGGCCAAGCGUUGUCCGGAUUUAUUGGGCGUAAAGAGCUCGUAGGCGGUUCGGCAAGUCAGCUGUGAAAUCUCCACGCUCAACGUGGAGGGGUCAGCUGAUACUGCUGUGACUUGAGUCCGGUAGGGGAGUGUGGAAUUCCCGGUGUAGCGGUGAAAUGCGCAGAUAUCGGGAGGAACACCAGUAGCGAAGGCGGCACUCUGGGCCGGUACUGACGCUCAGGUGCGAAAGCGUGGGGAGCGAACCGG